UCCAUAUGUUGUUUAAGUGGUCAC
This 24-nucleotide microRNA is filed under the name Bombyx mori (domestic silkworm). RNAcentral describes it as "bmo-miR-3237". The record is from miRBase by way of RNAcentral. Lineage: Eukaryota; Metazoa; Arthropoda; Insecta; Lepidoptera; Bombycidae.